Molecule: long non-coding RNA, 381 nt
Filed under: Anser brachyrhynchus (Pink-footed goose)
Lineage: Eukaryota; Metazoa; Chordata; Aves; Anseriformes; Anatidae
Description: lncRNA (ENSABRG00000019217.1)
Source: RNAcentral
AUUUUUUUUAAUUUUUUUUAGAUCUUUACUAGGAUUUUUUUUUUCACUUACUACUUUAGACAACAGAAGAGCUUAUUUCUAAGAAGAACUGUAUCCACGCUCCACUGUCCUCAGCAAGUAGAUGUCCUCUUAGUCUACAGAAGAAAACAUUCUUUGCCAUUCUUCAUCCCCUGUUCCAAGCCAUGUAUACUCAUGCUGAUGAGAGAGGACCAUUACCCUCAAGGCACUGUCCACACCAUCCUCAAAGUAAAUGGCAACAGUCCAGUGUUCAUAAAUGAGGCCAAGAUGUGUCAAGAGUAUUUUCCAACUACAUGAUGAACUUUAUGUUUUCACCUGUGUACUUCUUAUUACAAUGCAAUUAAAAGAAGAAAAGGGACAGCA